GUGCAUUUCCUUACCGCCCGAUAGACACCUGCUAGAUGCUACUUGUAGCCAGCAAGGCUAAUGUUGUCUGUUUUAGCAAAGUUAGCUCACUGUAAGCGCUAGCUCCCUGUUAGCUCGUAAGCAGUCUGUUAGCUCGUUAGCUGCCUGUAAGCUCGUUAGCUGCCUGUUAGCUCGUUAGCUGCCCGUUAGCUCCCUGUUAGCUCGUUAGCUGCCUGUAAGCUCCUUAGCAGCCUGUUAGCUCCUUAGCAGUCUGUUAGCUCGUAAGCAGCCUGUUAGCUCC
Labrus mixtus (cuckoo wrasse) is the source of this 280-nucleotide long non-coding RNA. RefSeq lists it as uncharacterized. The record is from RefSeq and is a predicted model, not a curated record. Lineage: Eukaryota; Metazoa; Chordata; Actinopteri; Labriformes; Labridae. The transcript has 3 exons.